RNAcentral lists this ribosomal RNA (414 nucleotides) under uncultured bacterium. RNAcentral describes it as "bacterial SSU rRNA". It matches the Rfam family "Bacterial small subunit ribosomal RNA", at positions 355 to 787 of the family's 1533-position model. The record is from RNAcentral.
UGGGGAAUCUUGCACAAUGGAGGAAACUCUGAUGCAGCGACGCCGCGUGAGUGAUGAAGCCCUUCGGGGUGUAAAGCUCUUUCGACCCGGAAGAUUAUGACGGUACGGAUGAAGAAGCUGCGGCUAACUACGUGCCAGCAGCCGCGGUAAUACGUAGGCAGCGAGCGUUGUUCGGAGUUACUGGGCGUAAAGCGUGCGUAGGCGGUGUUCCAAGUCUGUUGUGAAAUCUCCCGGCUUAACCGGGAGGGUGCGGCGGAAACUGGAAUGCUGGAGUGCCGGAGAGGUAAGCGGAAUUCCUGGUGUAGCGGUGAAAUGCGUAGAUAUCAGGAGGAACACCUGCGGUGUAGACGGCUUACUGGACGGUAACUGACGCUGAGGCACGAAAGCGUGGGUAGCAAACAGGAUUAGAUACCC